Tachyglossus aculeatus (Australian echidna) is the source of this 139-nucleotide small nucleolar RNA. Lineage: Eukaryota; Metazoa; Chordata; Mammalia; Monotremata; Tachyglossidae. The record is from RefSeq and is a predicted model, not a curated record.
CUCCUCUCAGGACCACACCUGGAGAGUUUCCAGUACUCUACCAGUUCUUGGCUACAGGAGGGAAAGUCAAGCAGGGGCCUACCCAUUUCAUUUCUAGCUUGGCCCUUGGCUAGUGAGUGGAAGGCAAUCUGCUACAAGU